AUGUCUAACUACUCCAGUCUGCUAUCCCAAGUAUUUUUUAUUUCAUUAUAUCGUCAUUAGUUUACCACCUACUAGCAAUUUGAAUUCGCGAAAAAAGUGGACGUGUCAAAUUUUCGGGGUUAUAUGGUUUCUAGGUUGCCAUCUUGGACUAGUAAUAUCCCACCCAUUGGUGCACCCACAGCCAAGAAGCAUUGGUAUUUUGGGGUUCUUUGCGUUUGGCAGUUACAGGAAGUUUUAAAGUGUUCGACUGCGAUCGUUUUGUUGCAGUCUCUGGCCUUCUGGGUGAAGGCCUCACGCGCCGGCUGUUUCUGUUCUUGCUAGGUCCAGUGGGUAUUGCAUUUUGGGUUUUGUGGUUGGUUGCCAUGCCAUAAGG
Daphnia pulex (common water flea) is the source of this 373-nucleotide long non-coding RNA. RefSeq lists it as uncharacterized. The transcript is spliced from 3 exons. The record is from RefSeq and is a predicted model, not a curated record. Lineage: Eukaryota; Metazoa; Arthropoda; Branchiopoda; Diplostraca; Daphniidae.